AUGGACUUUCAGUUGAAGAUUUUCAGCCUUGUGCUACUCAGUGUCACAGUGUCCAGUGGAGAAAUUGUGCUCACCCAGUCUCCAGCAUCCAUGGCUGCAUCUCAAGGGGAGAAGGUCACCAUCACCUGCAGUGCCAGCUCAAGUGUAAGCAAUAGUAGAUUGCACUGGUACCAACAGAAGCUGGGAGUCUCUCCCAAACUCCUGAUUUAUAGCACAUCCACCCUGGCUUCUGGAGUCCCAGCUCGAUUCAGUGGCAGUGGGUCUGGGACCUCUUACUCUCUCACAAUCAGCAGUUUUGAAACUGAAGAUGCUGCCACUUACUACUGUCAGCAGGAAAAUAGUUACCCAUCCACACUGUGA
Molecule: non-coding RNA, 360 nt
Organism: Onychomys torridus (southern grasshopper mouse)
Lineage: Eukaryota; Metazoa; Chordata; Mammalia; Rodentia; Cricetidae
Source: the annotation of a RefSeq genome assembly